Molecule: long non-coding RNA, 5148 nt
Organism: Gadus morhua (Atlantic cod)
Lineage: Eukaryota; Metazoa; Chordata; Actinopteri; Gadiformes; Gadidae
Source: Ensembl
AUGCCAUCUGUCAAAAGUAGUCAACCAAGGAAAAUUGUGGAGUUGAUUCAAGCCGUGGAGAAAGCACUCAGGGACCUGAGUGACCUCGGAGACACAGGCGCCAUAAAGAAUCCCCUUGUAACAAAAUCAAUCGAGAGUAAACUCCCUGAAUCCCUCAAAAAAGAGUGGCUUGUCUAUGUAGCCGAUCCAAAUAAUGGAGUAACGCCAGACAAACGGUUUGAUCAUCUCUUGGCAUUCCUCCAGAAGCAAGAAGCUAUCUAUGAGGAGCUUGAGCAGCUACGAGAUGAGGAGCCAAGUAAGCCAAGUUGGAGAGACAACAGGAUUGAGCAGAAAAGUGCAAGAACCAAGUCUACAAAGUCAGCUGAUGACCAAGGCUGUGUAGUCUGUGGUGAUGCCAAACACAAGAGAAAACUCUACUUCUGCAAGCAAUUCAAGGCUCUGACUGCAGCCGAAAGGAAGUCUUCAGUAAAGAAGUUGGGAGCGUGUACAAGAUGCCUUGAGGUUCACGAUGACCGGUCAUCCUGCAAACCUGGCUUUCUAUGCAAAAAUCAAGACUGCAGAGAAGAACAGGCUGAGCAUCACUUCUACCUCUGUCCUAAAUCUAUGUCAAAGAAGUCUGACAAGUCGGAAAAGGAUAAAGGCAGAAGGAAGUACACAGAGGGUCAAGAGGAUUUCAUCAAAAAUCUCCCACCCGACCUAGCAAAGCAGUUCAGGGAGGUCUUCUCAAACGUUGCCUCCAGAGUCUUCACAACUUCAAAUGACCAGCAAGGUCUACUUGAAAAAAGCGGGAUGCAGGAGCUUCCAGUGAUCAUGAUGCUACUCGUCGUCACAGCUAACGCCGGAGAGAAAGUCGGAACACUCAUCGACUUAGCAUCUGACACCAAUUACAUCACUCACAGAGCAGCAAGCCGUCUGAAUCUGAAGAGUGAAGACAUCAUACUCAUUGUCCAUGGAGUAGCCGGAAUGAAGGUCCAAGUAAAGACAAAGCGCUAUCUCCUCAAAAUCCGUGUAUCCACUUCCAAGGACACACUGAGAGCACAUCAAUUGGUUUGCUAUGGGCUUGAGAACAUCGCAGAUGUCCACAAAAGUGUAACACCUGGACAACUGCAGCCAUUCUUCCCAGAUGUACCUCUUGAUGAGCUUGUGAGGCCCAAAGAGGUGGAGCUUCUCAUUAGCCACAGAGAAGGCCGACUAGCUCCACAGAGAGUCAAAGUUGUGGGGGACCUUGUACUGUGGGAUGGACCCCUCGGGAAAACGGUUGGAGGAACCCACCCCAAACUGUUCGAGGAGGUUGAAGUGUCAGCCCACAUGUCAAAGACGCAUUUUGCAAGGUCAAUGAGAGCGGCAGCUGUGAAAUAUGAAGAGCUCACGUACAGUCCAGAACAGAACAUCUCAAACAUAGAAGUAUUCGAAAUACAAGGAUCAACCGCUUCAACCAGCAAACAAAGCUUCCUGGAGUGGUGGCACUGGGAUAGCAUUGGCGCCGCAUGCAAGCCCAGAUGCGGCGGCUGUUGUUGCGGAAAUUGCCAGCCCGGUGGCAAAGAAAUGACCCUUGCAGAAGAAAGGGAGCUUGAGGUGGUAAAAGAAGGACUCACGUAUGUCAUGAGCGAUGAUCACAGCAGACAACCACAUUGGCACGCAAAGUAUCCCUGGCUAGAGGAUCCAGCCUCACUGCCGAACAACAGAGGAGCAGUGGAAGCAACAUUCCUGAGGACAGAGAAGCAGCUAGCCAAAGCACCAGAGUGGAAGUCUGCUUACAAAGCUCAGGUGCAUGACAUGGUGGAGAGAGGAGCUGCAGUCAAGUUGACUGAAGAACAGAUCAUUACCUGGAAGGGACCAGUAUGGUUUGUAAGUCACCUUAUAGCACCAAACCCACACUCUGUAACAACCCCUGUAAGACUCGUCUGGAAUAGCAGUCAAAAGUUCAAAGGAACCAGCAUGAACGACCUACUGAUGAAGGGGCCAGACGUCCUCAACCAGAUACGUGCUGUCCUCCUGAGGUUCAGAGGGGGAACCAACGCUGCCUUAGGGGACAUCACAAAAAUGUACAACUCAGUAUGGUUGGAAGACCGUGAGAUGCACCUCCACAGGUUCCUCUGGCGAGACUCAGAAGAGGAGGAGAUGGAGGAGUACGCUAUCACCAGAGUCAACAUUGGUGAUAAACCGACAGGCUGCAUUGCACAGCUCGCAAUGCGAGAAACAGCCAACCUACCUUCCUUUGCCCACCUCGAAGAGGAGCGAGGAGUACUUCAUAAUGACAGCUAUGUCGACGACAUCCUAACAUCUCACAAUGACCUUGAGAAACUAAAAACCAUCACAGCGAAUGUGGAGCUAAUCCUGAAAGCUGGAGGUUUCCUGUUGAAGCCUUGGGUCUUCUCAGGCCAAAGUGGGAGGAAGAUGAAAGACGAUGCGAGCAAGACCAAAGGUAACAACAUGGUUCUCCCGAAUCAAAUGAGGGAUGACGAGAACAAAGCACUUGGUCUAGGUUACCUCGUGGAAGAGGAUAAGCUCCACGUCAUGUCAUCCAUAAACUUCUCAAAGAGAAAGCAGAAGAUGCGACUUGGCCAAGACCUUCUACUAGACCAAGUAAGAGCGCAGACCCCCAACCCUUUGACAAGAAGGGACCUCCUGAGUCAAGUCUCAGGGUUAUAUGAUCCAGUUGGCCUGGUGACUCCUGCCAAGCAAAAGGGUGCCAUCCUUGUGCGGAGAGCAUUCCAGGAGGCAAAGAGUGUCAACUGCCCUGUCAAAGACACCUGGGACACAGCAUUGUCAGACAGCCUCAGAGAAGAUGCAGUCCGGCUCUUCGAAGAGUAUGUGCAACUCGGGUGGAUUACAUUCACCAGGGCCAUAAUGCCUCCAAGCUUCAGUGGAGAACCUUGGGCAAUAACAUUCUCAGAUGGAAGCGAGCAGGCCUACGGCGCAGUGAUGUACCUCCGGUGGAACACUGAGCAGGGCCCAGUCGUCACUCUAGUGGAGUCCAAGGCAAAGCUAACUCCUUUAGACCACAAAGGUGAUGCUGUCAAAGCAGAGAUGUGCGGAGCAGUGUUUGCCUCACGGCUCAAAAAGUACUUCGAACAGCACAGCAAGAUCCGAGUUGACAAGUGGUUCCAUAUCAUUGACAGCCAAACAGUUCUCGGUGCAAUCCAAAGGGAGAGCUAUGGUUAUCAAACCUUCUUUGCAAACAGGAUCGGCGAGAUCCAGAACACAACAGCAAUCCGAGAUAGGUGGUGGAUUCCUGGUCCUCUCAAUAUUGCUGAUAUCAUAACCAGAGGGGCCAGUCCUCAAGACCUGGAUGAAAGUUCAGAAUGGCAGAACGGACCAACAUUCUUGAAGCUACCAGUGGAGGAGUGGCCAGUUAAAUCUGCCAAAGAGUUGGUGAUGGCUGCCAGAGACGGUGUCAACAGAUUACAGAAGAAAGCCUUUGUUGCUGCACUGACCCGAGCACAAGCCAAGGCACAACUGCUGCCGGAUCCAAAGGAUACUGACACGCAGAAGCCUUCUGAAUUAAAGCAAGACCAGGAACCAACUCAGACCCAAACACAACCAAAGAGGCCACCAGCAGGAUCAACUGUCCAAGAACUGGUGGAUGUCAAGCGGUUCAGUAACCUAAGCCGACUUGUCAAAACAGUCGCCUGGAUCCGGAGAGCAGCAAGGAUGUUCAUGAAAGGGAACAAGCGAACUGCAAACAAUCCAAAGUGGGAGGCAGUGUCGUUUUCAAAAGUCAUCUCAGUGACAGAGAGGGAAGACGCCCUAAAAGACAUCUUCCUUGCGGCACAGCAAAGUGCAUUCUUCCCAAGCACAACCACAGACAGGCUGGUGGUGUACAGAGACCAAGAGACUGGAUUGUUGGUCUGUGGGGGUCGUGUGCAGAUCUUCAAUGAAGAUAAAGUUGCUGUCCCCAUCUUGCCUUACGAAGCCUGGGUGUCGACACUGUUAGCACGAGAAGCCCACGAGGAGAACCACGAUGGAGUGGCCGGGACCUUGCUCAAGAUGAGAAGAAGAGCAUGGGUCGUGAAAGGUCGGAGAAUUGCUCAAAAAGCGGUCGAAAACUGCAUGUUCUGCAGGAAAACUAAAGCAAAAAGAUGCCAGCAAAUAAUGGGUGAUCUACCUCCAGAGAGGACAGAACCAGCUGCCCCAUUCCACUACACAACAGUCGACCUCUUCGGACCCUACCAAGUCAGGGAUGAUGUGAAGAAAAGAGUGUCACUGAAGGUUUGGGGAAUUGUGUUUUGUUGCAUGGCCUCCAGAGCUAUUCACACCGAUCUGGUGAACUCUCAGUCCACAGAGAGUUUUCUGUUUGCCUACCAGAGGUUCACAGCACUAAGAGGUCAUCCAAAGAAAAUCUGGUCAGAUCCUGGGACCAACUUCACUGGGGCUAAGCCAGUCCUAGAAGAACAGUACCGAUUCCUUGCCAAUCUUGACAAAGCUACCCUGGAGGAGAGAGCUGCCAAGGAUGGCACAGAAUGGUCGUGGAAGAUUCAUCCAGCCGAUUCUCCACACCGGAAUGGUGCCGCAGAAGCUGCUGUGCGCAUUGUCAAGAGAGCACUGCAGAGUCUUGGAGGAGAGUCCGGCCUAAGGUGGAGUGAAUUCCAAACAACUCUCUACACGGCUGCCAAUCUUGCAAAUGAAAGACCAAUUGACGCCAGGACACAGAGCCGAGAAGACAGCGUCCAGUUCAUCACUCCUAACUGUCUCCUGCUCGGACGAGCAUCACAGGGUGGAGAUGUCAGAACAUUCGAUUUCAGUGACUAUCCCUACAAAAGGCUUAAAGAAAUGCAAGCGCAAGUUAACAAGUUCUGGAGGAACUGGAGUCAACUUGCUGGUCCUAACUUAUUCGUAAGGAACAAAUGGCAUACCGCCAAGAGAAAUGUCGCAGUCGGGGACAUCGUCUGGAUGGCGGACCAAAACGCCCUUAGGGGUCAGUUCAGGAUUGCAAGAGUGGUUAGCGUCAACUCGGACAGCAAAGGAGUUGUGAGGGACGUCAAUGUCAGAACCUUCCCAAGCUACCCCGUUCCUGUCACAAGGCCUACCGGAGCAAAAGUAAGUCACCGAACAUCUAAGAAAUUCAAAGAAAAGAUCCCAGCAGCAGUUCUUCACAGAGACGUAAGGCGACUAGUGGUCUUGCUUCCCACCGAAGAACAGAACUAA